RNAcentral lists this ribosomal RNA (253 nucleotides) under uncultured bacterium. RNAcentral's name for it is "partial 16S ribosomal RNA". It matches the Rfam family "Bacterial small subunit ribosomal RNA", at positions 524 to 776 of the family's 1533-position model. The record is from RNAcentral.
UACGGAGGGUGCGAGCGUUAAUCGGAAUUACUGGGCGUAAAGCGUGCGUAGGCGGUUCGUUAAGUCAGAUGUGAAAGCCCCGGGCUCAACCUGGGAACGGCAUUUGAUACUGGCGGACUCGAGUUUAAUAGAGGGGAGUGGAAUUUCAGGUGUAGCGGUGAAAUGCGUAGAGAUCUGAAGGAACACCAGUGGCGAAGGCGACUCCCUGGAUUAAAACUGACGCUGAGGUACGAAAGCGUGGGUAGCAAACAGG